GUCGAGCGGUAACAUUUCUAGCUUGCUAGAAGAUGACGAGCGGCGAACGGGUGAGUAAUGCUUGGGAAUAUGCCUUAUGGUGGGGGACAACAGUUGGAAACGACUGCUAAUACCGCAUAAUGUCUACGGACCAAAGGGGGGGAUCUUCGGACCUCUCGCCAUUUGAUUAGCCCAAGUGAGAUUAGCUAGUUGGUGAGGUAAUGGCUCACCAAGGCGACGAUCUCUAGCUGGUUUGAGAGGAUGAUCAGCCACACUGGGACUGAGACACGGCCCAGACUCCUACGGGAGGCAGCAGUGGGGAAUAUUGCACAAUGGGCGCAAGCCUGAUGCAGCCAUGCCGCGUGUGUGAAGAAGGCCUUCGGGUUGUAAAGCACUUUCAGUAAGGAGGAAAGGGAUGUAGUUAAUAACUGCAUUCUGUGACGUUACUUACAGAAGAAGCACCGGCUAACUUCGUGCCAGCAGCCGCGGUAAUACGAGGGGUGCAAGCGUUAAUCGGAAUUACUGGGCGUAAAGCGUUCGUAGGCGGUUGAUUAAGCAAGAUGUGAAAGCCCAGGGCUCAACCUUGGAACUGCAUUUUGAACUGGUCAACUAGAGUACUGUAGAGGGUGGUGGAAUUUCCAGUGUA
Molecule: ribosomal RNA, 625 nt
Filed under: uncultured bacterium
Lineage: Bacteria
Description: bacterial SSU rRNA
Rfam family: Bacterial small subunit ribosomal RNA
Source: RNAcentral